GGAGGCUUCGCCUAGUCAGGUCUAUGGCGCGGGAUUGCUAAUCCCGUUUGGGCUUUUUGUCCAUCGAGGGUUCGAAUCCCUCAGUCUCCGCCA
Molecule: transfer RNA, 93 nt
Filed under: Acidothermales bacterium
Lineage: Bacteria; Bacillati; Actinomycetota; Actinomycetes; Acidothermales
Description: tRNA-Ser
Rfam family: tRNA
About the family: Transfer RNA (tRNA) molecules are approximately 80 nucleotides in length. Their secondary structure includes four short double-helical elements and three loops (D, anti-codon, and T loops). Further hydrogen bonds mediate the characteristic L-shaped molecular structure. tRNAs have two regions of fundamental functional importance: the anti-codon, which is responsible for specific mRNA codon recognition, and the 3' end, to which the tRNAs corresponding amino acid is attached (by aminoacyl-tRNA synthetases). tRNAs cope with the degeneracy of the genetic code in two manners: having more than one tRNA (with a specific anti-codon) for a particular amino acid; and 'wobble' base-pairing, i.e. permitting non-standard base-pairing at the 3rd anti-codon position.
Source: RNAcentral